This 880-nucleotide ribosomal RNA is filed under the name Phlebiopsis brunneocystidiata. RNAcentral's name for it is "LSU rRNA". It matches the Rfam family "Eukaryotic large subunit ribosomal RNA", at positions 71 to 937 of the family's 3401-position model. Lineage: Eukaryota; Fungi; Basidiomycota; Agaricomycetes; Polyporales; Phanerochaetaceae. The record is from RNAcentral.
AGGAUUCCCCUAGUAACUGCGAGUGAAGCGGGAAAAGCUCAAAUUUAAAAUCUGGUAGCCUUCGGUUGCCCGAGUUGUAGUCUGGAGAAGCGUUUUCCGCGCUGGACCGUGUACAAGUCUCUUGGAACAGAGCGUCAUAGAGGGUGAGAAUCCCGUCUUUGACACGGACUACCAGUGCUUUGUGAUGCGCUCUCAAAGAGUCGAGUUGUUUGGGAAUGCAGCUCAAAAUGGGUGGUAAAUUCCAUCUAAAGCUAAAUAUUGGCGAGAGACCGAUAGCGAACAAGUACCGUGAGGGAAAGAUGAAAAGCACUUUGGAAAGAGAGUUAAACAGUACGUGAAAUUGCUGAAAGGGAAACGCUUGAAGUCAGUCGCGUCUUCUAGUACUCAGCCUUCCUUUUGGUUGGUGCAUUUACUAGUCGACGGGCCAGCAUCAGUUUUGGCUGCGGGAUAAAGGUCAGAGGAAUGUGGCACCCUCGGGUGUGUUAUAGCCUUUGGUCAUAUACCGUGGCUGGGACUGAGGAUCUCAGCAUGCCUUUAUGGCGGGGGUUCGCCCACCUUCAUGCUUAGGAUGCUGGCGUAAUGGCUUUAAACGACCCGUCUUGAAACACGGACCAAGGAGUCUAACAUGCCUGCGAGUGUUUGGGUGGUAAACCCGAGCGCGUAAUGAAAGUGAAAGUUGGGAUCUCUGUCGUGGAGAGCACCGACGCCCGGACCAGACCUUCUGUGACGGCUCCGCGGUAGAGCAUGUAUGUUGGGACCCGAAAGAUGGUGAACUAUGCCUGAAUAGGGUGAAGCCAGAGGAAACUCUGGUGGAGGCUCGUAGCGAUUCUGACGUGCAAAUCGAUCGUCAAAUUUGGGUAUAGGGGCGAAAGACUAAUCG